CGAAAAGGUAGGGAUGGCAGUGAAAUAGAAAUGGCUAUCCAGUGUAUGUAUGUGUAUCCAGUUAAUAAUUUGCCUUCCUGUGUAAUUCAUUGGUCACGUAGUGCAUGUUAAGGUAUUGUAAAACUUAUUUCUCAGAAAAUAUAGCUCUUUUCUUAGUUAUUAUAAAUUAUUAAAUACCUAUUGACUUGGGUUUCAUCCUAGAAUGAUGGAAACUUGGUGGAAGCCACUGGUCAACCCUCAGCUCCCCAUGAGAAAUUGCCAGUAGUCAUCAGAGUACCAAAACUGAUCUAUUUCUCAGUAAUGAGUGUGUGCCUCAUGCCUGUUUCAAUAUUGGGUUUUGGAGACAUUAUUGUACCAGGCCUGUUGAUUGCAUACUGUAGAAGAUUUGAUGUUCAGACUGGUUCUUCUUACAUAUACUA
RNAcentral lists this small RNA (419 nucleotides) under Pongo abelii (Sumatran orangutan). Its description in RNAcentral is "processed transcript". Lineage: Eukaryota; Metazoa; Chordata; Mammalia; Primates; Hominidae. The record is from RNAcentral.